Long non-coding RNA from Lycium barbarum (goji berry), 2061 nucleotides. RefSeq lists it as uncharacterized. The transcript has 6 exons. The record is from RefSeq and is a predicted model, not a curated record. NCBI's taxonomy places the organism in Eukaryota, Viridiplantae, Streptophyta, Magnoliopsida, Solanales, Solanaceae.
GCAUUUUUAAAUAGAUACCGCAUGUUUGAUAUUAACUAAUAAACUGCAAGAAGAACAAAUCUCCAUGGUAAUAUAUGGUUCUGAAGUCCCACAUUACGACAACCUAUUCAAAGUUUUCCACACAUAUCUUAUCUCAACAGCAAAAGUAAGAGAACCUUCACAGUAUUCAAUACCGUUGAACAAAUACGAAUGGAUCAUCGAUACAUUUACCAUUGUCGAGGAAGUUACAGAGAAUAGCCAAGAAGAAGUAACGUUACCAUUGCCGACAAAAUUAAACACGGUUUCUUUUGUUGAUAUUGAAAAAGAAGUACCAGGUGCUGAAUUCAGUAAGCAAAUACUGCUCUUUACUAUUUCAUCUUCUUAUUGUACGAAAAGAUUCAUACAUGUUCAAUACCUGGAUUUUAACUUCAAAUCCGCAUGAGUUGCCGAAGCAGAUCUGCUGGCAGUUGCGAAUGUUGGAUCCAUGAAAUAUCAUGGUAGCGAAGACAAAAGAUGUCAGGAGGCUAUUGUCAUAGACAAGUAAGUAAAGUAGACUUUUAUUCAUGUUAACAACAGAAGACAUAUUCAAAACUCCAUUCUUAAUUUCAUAGGAAAAGACCUUUCUUGUUGUCCAUAUGGGGAGAACUUGCGGACAAUGAUGGAACUCAAUUGUUGCGGCAGCUCCAAGAAUAUCCUGUGAUUCUCGCUAAACGAAUAAUUGUUUCUAACUUUAAGAAAGACACUCGACUGACAACAAGGUUCAAUUCGACGAUCCUAAUCAACCCUCUAUACCCACAGGCAACAAAUUUAAUGAAUUGGGCAAAGGACAAUGAGCAGAUGCUAAUUGCAUACACUGUGAAGAGUUCAUCUGAAUCAUCUUCUUCACUAAACGUCGCGCCUUUUGAAGAUGAAAUAAUCUCCAUUUCAAGCAUUCCGUCACAAUCUACAAGUGUAAGCACUUGGUACGAAUCAAGCGGACGAAGGAGGUCCAAUGCAUUAACUGCAAGCUCCACAGAAUGCUAAUUCCAAGAUGCGAAUUUGAAGUUGAAAUCACAGAUGGCAGCGGAACAAUAGUAGCAACAGUGUCAGACAAAUUGGCUGAAAGAAUGCUCUCAAUGACAGCAGAGCAAAUAUAUGAAACAACCGUUAUCAAGGUGCACAUACAUAUAGCACUAACAUUAAUUCAUCUUAUGGAAUUUUAUUGAAAAUCUUUAAAUUAAUGAUUCAACAACGUUUGAACUUCUUUGCACCGAAACAAUUGUUACCUAUUGAGCAUAUCAGGGAAGAACUGUUGCACAAAUCGUUCAAAAUUCACCUACAGAAGUCAGUACUCUGGACACCGGAUAGAACGCCUGGCUCAUUAGUCGUUUUAUCUUACAACCAAAAACAAACCAUGUUCGAUUCACCGCAAUGCUCAACAUCAUUAACCAUUAGCGAGGGAACUAAAAGAAAGAUAGAUUAUAUCACUCCUACUGAAGAAGAUCCCACUUCCUCAACACAAGAUGUGUCAUUGAGCAAAAAAACAAAAAAACACUGAAGGAAGCAGAUUUAGAGGAGCAACUAUAACUACUUUUUGAUAUCCUACAGCAGCUAUAACGCUUAUGUUCGAAGCAAAUUUUGAUGCAGUUGUUCGCUGCAGUACAAUACUCCAAAUUUUGUGUAAAUAAGUGUGUGUCUGUGCGUUUGUAUAUGCUUGUAAAUGUGGGAAAUACUUGUUUUAGUUGCUGUAGUUCGAAGCAAAUUUUGAUGCUGUUUGCUGCAGUACAAUACUCCAAAUUUUGUGUAAAUAAGUGUGUGUCUGUGCGUUUGUAUAUGCUUGUAAAUGUGGGAAAUACUUGUUUUAGUUGCUGUAGUUCGAAGCAAAUUUUGAUGCUGUUUGCUGCAGUACAAUACUCCAAAUUUUGUGUAAAUAAGUGUGUGUACUGUGCGUUCGUAUAUGCUUGUAAAUGUGGGAAAUACUUGUUUUAGCUGCUGUAGCACUUACGCUCAGACCAUAUUUUGAUGCGGUUGUUCUCUGCGGUACAAUCCUUCACAUUUUGUGUAAAUGCUACGUAUCCUACCUGUUGGUUUGUUUGUUUGAGU